Molecule: non-coding RNA, 29 nt
Filed under: Rattus norvegicus (Norway rat)
Lineage: Eukaryota; Metazoa; Chordata; Mammalia; Rodentia; Muridae
Source: RNAcentral
UGUCUCCAAAAAGCAAAGGUUUUCUCUCC